This 254-nucleotide ribosomal RNA is filed under the name uncultured bacterium. RNAcentral's name for it is "partial 16S ribosomal RNA". It matches the Rfam family "Bacterial small subunit ribosomal RNA", at positions 524 to 776 of the family's 1533-position model. The record is from RNAcentral.
UACGGAGGGGGCUAGCGUUGUUCGGAAUUACUGGGCGUAAAGGGCGCGCAGGCGGCUGCUCAAGUCAGGCGUGAAAGGCCUGGGCUCAACCCGGGAAUUGCGCUUGAGACUGGGCUGGCUUGAGUGCGGGAGAGGAUGGUGGAAUUCCCAGUGUAGAGGUGAAAUGCGCAGAUAUCAGGAGGAACACCGGUGGCGAAGGCGGGUCUCUGGGCAACAACUGACGCUGAGGAGCGAAAGCGUGGGGAGCGAACAGG